Long non-coding RNA from Salvelinus namaycush (lake trout), 229 nucleotides. RefSeq lists it as uncharacterized. Lineage: Eukaryota; Metazoa; Chordata; Actinopteri; Salmoniformes; Salmonidae. The record is from RefSeq and is a predicted model, not a curated record. The transcript has 3 exons.
AAUGAGAGAGAAGCUGAAUUUGCCGGUGAACCGAUCAGCUUUGUGUCAGGUCGACUACAGUAUCUUCCUCUCAUUCAGCACAGGUCAGAAGCAGGUGUCAAAUGCCAUUGCAUUGAAGGUGUGAUUGUACUUUGGAUUACAGAAAGAGACGUGAAAUGAGUGGAAGAAGGAGGGGGCAGCCCAACAGAGGUGGAGGGCGAUUUAACAAGCCCAGAGGAGGAGGAGGGAG